Molecule: non-coding RNA, 121 nt
Organism: Picea glauca (white spruce)
Lineage: Eukaryota; Viridiplantae; Streptophyta; Pinopsida; Pinales; Pinaceae
Source: Rfam
ACAUGCCUACAACAUAGCGUUAAUGCAUUAGAUUCCAUUAGAACUCCGUUGUUAAGCGCGUUAAGGCUAGAGUAGUACUGGGAUGGGUGACCGCCCGAGAAUUCCUAGUAUUUUACAUGCC